UACGUAGGGUGCAAGCGUUAAUCGGAAUUACUGGGCGUAAAGCGUGCGCAGGCGGUUUUGUAAGUCUGUCGUGAAAGCCCCGGGCUCAACCUGGGAAUUGCAUUCGAGACUGCAUUGCUGGAGUACGGAAGAGGAAGGCGGAAUUCCCGGUGUAGCGGUGAAAUGCGUAGAUAUCGGGAGGAACAUCAGUGGCGAAGGCGGCCUUCUGGUCCAGUACUGACACUCAAGUGCGAAAGCGUGGGGAGCAAACAGG
Molecule: ribosomal RNA, 253 nt
Filed under: uncultured bacterium
Lineage: Bacteria
Description: partial 16S ribosomal RNA
Rfam family: Bacterial small subunit ribosomal RNA
Source: RNAcentral